UAAAUCAAUCACAAUAUAAAAAGAUAAGGGAAGAGAGAGCAAACACAAUGAUUUUUACGUGGUUCGGCAAUCCCCGCCUACGUCCACGCCUCCAAGCUCACCGGGCUUGAAGAUUUCACUAAGCUAGCCACCCAAGGCUUCAAAUGCUUACAAUUGACUUCCAAGGUGUCAAUGGACCUUUACAACAAGAGAUUAUCCCCAAUCUCUUAACCCAAGUGUAUCCCAACACUUACAAUCAUUCAAAGUAAAAGAUUACAAAUUGUUUUUCUCUCGCACAAUAUCUAAGAUUACAAAUCAAUGCCCAAUGUGUGAAUAGAUGAAAAGAGAAUGUGUUUAAAGCUCUAUGAAGAUUGUAUUCUCGGAUAUAAGCUCAAUGGUAGU
This 381-nucleotide long non-coding RNA is filed under the name Citrus sinensis (sweet orange). RNAcentral describes it as "long non-coding RNA (CSIN_LNC000878)". The record is from RNAcentral. Lineage: Eukaryota; Viridiplantae; Streptophyta; Magnoliopsida; Sapindales; Rutaceae.